UGUGGAUAGCAAACACCCACAAUUAAUAGAGCUCAUUAGUCAUUGCCAGUGUUGCCACUUUUGAAGAAGGUGGAACUUCAUUUUCAAUUUUUCGCCCGGUGGCACUGCCAUCUGUCGACAAAUGAGUUUCUGCGUGGAAUAAAAUAACACAUCCGCAAGAGGCGCUCCCACCGGUUACAAAAUCACUCUUUCACCCCGACCACCCCGACCCAAAACCACCGUUUUUUGUAUAGUGAUCCCCCGCAAGAGAGUACCCCUUUUCUGAGCAGGAAAAUAGCCAUAGUGGAGUAACCAGGGGUCUAUGACUCUGGUUUUUCAAUCCAAAUUGGAAUUGAGAGCGAACGCGCAAGUAACUAAAGUUUUACCUUUUUAGGAGCCAACUUGUCUGUCUUUGACAUUUCAGGAGUAAACUGGUAUCAAGUGAACCAUUUGCAAUGCAUUGAACUGAACCCUUUUUGUUACUAUUUUGUCGCCGUUUUAGCCACCAUUUUAAAAUAUGGCGGCGGAGGGAACGGGUUCGCACCAGAAAACAGCCCCUUCACAUCGCAUGCUGGAGAAAGCUCUUCUCUGAUCGUCCUUUUUUGGGGGAUAGCAUGCGGUGUCCCCGAUAACAGACGACUGUGGCCAAGCCCUAUACAUUCAUUUACUAUAAUUUCCCAGAAGUUGGUGUUUUGAAGAUGAUGCCGUUGAAAUGGAAACAUCAGGUAUGUUACGCAAAGGUGACGAAGGCUGGUUACGAUUGUUGCUUACACGAGACUCUGUUACUUUUCUGUUGCCUUCACCAAUACUAUGGUUGCUGCUGCUACUGUGAUCUCGCUGGUGAUGUUUAUUGCUAUUUUUUUCAGUUUUGUUUGAGGUCUGUGCACUCAAUCCAUGUCCAUCACCCAUUACAGGAGCCAACUCACGAUGCAUAAUGAAUUCGUUAUGUGAUCGGCCUUGAAACGAGUAAGACGUAGUGGUUACUAGUUGAAAGCCAAGUUUCUCCAGCCCGUCAAGGAUCAGUCUUAAUUCACAAUGGGUAGCUACAGCUCCCUUGGCCUCAGGUUUUUUCGAUACACCUCGUUGAUUCACGUGGUGCUGGUGUUGCUCCUGUUCACGAAGGAAACUAUGUAUCUCUGGAUCUAAUUCCGGUGAAUAAUCCAAGUUGAUGGGCAACGAAGAAUCCUGAAAAAUCACGUGGUAUUAUUGAAUUUUUUAUCAGCCAACUGCUCCGUGCCAGAGAAACUGGUAAGAUAAAGGGGCCUUAUCACGUAUGAUUUUAGUCUGAUGACGGCAUUGUCGUGUAACAAAGCAUACUUCAAACAUGACUCAUAACAAAUGGAAGUACUGCAUAUACUACAGUAAAACGGAAAAAAGUCAAAUGGCACACGACAGAAAUCCUUUAAAAUGCUGGAUACUACACGUGUCCAGCAGAGAAUGGUACUACGUCUUACAUUUUGUACAAAUAGCUUUACAGUUAAUAAUUUUACCCUUCAAAUACGUGGUAGGGAAAAAAAGGUUAUUAUUUUAUAUACAGUUUUGUUACUCUUACCCAUCCACCGGACUGCACCGUUACAAAAAUAUACGGCAUCGUUUCUUUGUUGAGUA
Molecule: long non-coding RNA, 1587 nt
Organism: Daphnia magna
Lineage: Eukaryota; Metazoa; Arthropoda; Branchiopoda; Diplostraca; Daphniidae
Exons: 2
Source: RefSeq, a predicted model, not a curated record